CCAGCAGCUGCGGUAAUUCCAGCUCUAAUAGCGUAUAUUAAAGUUGCUGCAGUUAAAAAGCUCGUAGUUGGAUUUUGGAUGGGCAGUGUAGGUCUUACUCCAGGCGAGCAAGUACUUGCAUUGUCCUUCUUCCAGUUGAAGACGGCGUUUCCUCUUCAUUGAGCGGAACGUCGAAUUCGACGUCUUUACUUUGAAGAAAUUGGAGUGUUCAAAGCAGGCAAUAGCAAUUGAACAUAUUAGCAUGGAAUAAUAGAAUAGGACUUCUGUCCUAUUUUGUUGGUUUGUGGAUAGAAGUAAUGAUUGAUAGAGAUAGUUGGGGGUGUUUGUAUUGCGUAGUUAGAGGUGAAAUUCUUGGAUCUACGCAAGACAGACUAAUGCGAAAGCAUUCACCAAGGAUGUU
This 400-nucleotide ribosomal RNA is filed under the name Trimastix marina. Its description in RNAcentral is "SSU rRNA". It matches the Rfam family "Eukaryotic small subunit ribosomal RNA", at positions 567 to 968 of the family's 1831-position model. Lineage: Eukaryota; Preaxostyla; Trimastigidae. The record is from RNAcentral.